AUUGCACGCUGGCGGCAGGCCUAACACAUGCAAGUCGAGCGAGCGGCGGACGGGUGAGUAAUGCCUGGGAAUUGCCCAGUCGAGGGGGAUAAAAGUUGGAAACGACUGCUAAUACAGCAUAAGAGUGGAUUGCCCAGGUGGGAUUGGCUAGUUGGUGAGGUAAGGGCUCACCAAGGCGACGAUCCCUAGCUGGUCUGAGCGGAGGAUCAGCCACACUGGAACUGAUACACGGUCCAGACUCCUACGUGAGGCAGCAGUGUGGAAUAUUGCACAAUGGGUUAAACCCUGAUGCAGCCAGGCCGCGUGUGUGAAGAAGGCCUUCGGGUUGUAAAGCACUUUCAGCGAGGAGGCGUUACUCGCAGAAGAAGCACCGGCUAACUCCGUGCCAGCAGCCGCGGUAAUAC
This 404-nucleotide ribosomal RNA is filed under the name uncultured bacterium. Its description in RNAcentral is "partial 16S ribosomal RNA". It matches the Rfam family "Bacterial small subunit ribosomal RNA", at positions 30 to 526 of the family's 1533-position model. The record is from RNAcentral.